UGGGGAAUAUUGCACAAUGGGCGCAAGCCUGAUGCAGCCAUGCCGCGUGUAUGAAGAAGGCCUUCGGGUUGUAAAGUACUUUCAGCGAGGAGGAAGGCGUUGUGGUUAAUAACCGCAACGAUUGACGUUACUCGCAGAAGAAGCACCGGCUAACUCCGUGCCAGCAGCCGCGGUAAUACGGAGGGUGCAAGCGUUAAUCGGAAUUACUGGGCGUAAAGCGCACGCAGGCGGUCUGUCAAGUCGGAUGUGAAAUCCCCGGGCUCAACCUGGGAACUGCAUCCGAAACUGGCAGGCCAGAGUCGUGUAGAGGGGGGUAGAAUUCCAGGUGUAGCGGUGAAAUGCGUAGAGAUCUGGAGGAAUACCGGUGGCGAAGGCGGCCCCCUGGACAAAGACUGACGCUCAGGUGCGAAAGCGUGGGGAGCAAACA
RNAcentral lists this ribosomal RNA (427 nucleotides) under uncultured bacterium. RNAcentral's name for it is "partial 16S ribosomal RNA". It matches the Rfam family "Bacterial small subunit ribosomal RNA", at positions 355 to 774 of the family's 1533-position model. The record is from RNAcentral.